GAGUUUGAUCAUGGCUCAGAACGAACGCUGGCGGCGUGCUUAACACAUGCAAAUCGAACGCGAAAGUUUUCUUCGGAAGACGAGUAGAGUGGCGCACGGGUGAGUAACGCGUAAAUAAUCUACCCCUGCAUCUGGGAUAACCCACCGAAAGGUGUGCUAAUACCGGAUACGUUCUUUUAACCGCGAGGUUUUAAGAAGAAAGGUGGCCUCUGAUAUAAGCUACUGUGCGGGGAGGAGUUUGCGUACCAUUAGCUAGUUGGUAGGGUAAUGGCCUACCAAGGCAUCGAUGGUUAGCGGGUCUGAGAGGAUGAUCCGCCACACUGGAACUGGAACACGGACCAGACUCCUACGGGAGGCAGCAGUGAGAAAUAUUGCGCAAUGGGGGCAACCCUGACGCAGCGACGCCGCGUGGAUGAUGAAGGCCUUCGGGUCGUAAAAUCCUGUCAGAUGGAAAGAAGUGCAUAUGGAUUAAUAAUUCAUAUGUUUGACGGUACCAUCAAAGGAAGCACCGGCUAACUCCGUGCCAGCAGCCGCGGUAAUACGGAGGGUGCAAGCGUUGUUCGGAAUUACUGGGCGUAAAGCGCGCGUAGGUGGUCUGUUAUGUCAGAUGUGAAAGUCCACGGCUCAACCGUGGAAGUGCAUUUGAAACUGGCAGACUUGAGUACUGGA
This 669-nucleotide ribosomal RNA is filed under the name uncultured bacterium. Its description in RNAcentral is "bacterial SSU rRNA". It matches the Rfam family "Bacterial small subunit ribosomal RNA", at positions 9 to 653 of the family's 1533-position model. The record is from RNAcentral.